GGAAGGAUCAUUAAAGAUUCUGACCUUCGGGUCUAACUCUUCAGCUGUGCGCUUCGGCUGCACGCUGAUAAAACCUUACACACCUGUGCACAUUUCGGUCGCAAUCCUGCAAUGCAGGUUUGCUUCCGCUUUAACAUACAACCACACGUCUUGAAUGUAAAAAACUAUAAAAGUAACAACUUUCAACAACGGAUCUCUUGGCUCUCGCAUCGAUGAAGAACGCAGCGAAAUGCGAUAAGUAAUGUGAAUUGCAGAAUUCAGUGAAUCAUCGAAUCUUUGAACGCAUCUUGCGCCCCUUGGUAUUCCGAGGAGCAUGGCUGUUUCAGUGUCACGUAAACCCUCACACUUGUGAUGUAACAAUUUCAAGUUGUGGACUUGGACUGUGCCGUAGUUGGCUCGUCCUGAAAUACAUUAGCUUGCGCUUAUUAGAGUGCCUGGCAUUGGUGUGAUAAUUAUCUGCGCCUUUGCCUAAUGCCUCUUCCAGAGUGCUGCUUCUAAUCGUCCAUGUGGACAUCAUUUCAAACUUUGGCCUGAAAUCAGGUAGGACUACCCGCUGAACUUAAGCAUAUCAAUAAGCGGAGGAAAAGAAACUAACAAGGAUUCCCCUAGUAACGGCGAGUGAAGCGGGAAGAGCUCAAAUUUAAAAUCUGGUGGUCUUUGGCCAUCCGAGUUGUAAUCUAGAGAGGUGUUUUCGGUGCUGGACCAUGUACAAGUCCCUUGGAACAGGGCGUCAUAGAGGGUGAGAAUCCCGUCCAUGACAUGGACUCCCAGUGCUGUGCGAUACACCUUCAAAGAGUCGAGUUGUUUGGGAAUGCAGCUCAAAAUGGGUGGUAAAUUCCAUCUAAAGCUAAAUACUGGCGAGAGACCGAUAGCGAACAAGUACCGUGAGGGAAAGAUGAAAAGAACUUUGGAAAGAGAGUUAAACAGUACGUGAAAUUGUUGAAAGGGAAACGCUUGAAGUCAGUCGCGUCUUCUGGGACUCAGCCUUGCUUCUGCUUGGUGCAUUUCUCGGUUGAUGGGUCAGCAUCAAUUUCGGGCGCCGGAUAAAGGCGGGAGGAAUGUGGCAACUUCGGUUGUGUUAUAGCCUUCUGUCAUACACGGUGCUUGGGAUUGAGGACUGCAGCGCACGUUGGUUCGCCUUCGAGGGGUUCGCCCACAUUUGCGCUUAGGAUGCUGACAUAAUGGCUUUAAACGACCCGUCUUGAAACACGGACCAAGGAGUCUAACAUGCCUGCGAGUGUUUGGGUGCAAAACCCAUGCGCGUAAUGAAAGUGAAAGGUUGGGACCCUUUAGUGGGGCACCGACGCCCGAUCCUGAAGUUUUCUGACGGAUUUGAGGCAGAGCAUGUAUGUUGGGACCCGAAAGAUGGUGAACUAUGCCUGAAUAGGGCGAAGCCAGAGGAAACUCUGGUGGAGGCUCGUAGCGAUUCUGACGUGCAAAUCGAUCGUCAAAUUUGGGUAUAGGGGCGAAAGACUAAUCGAACCAUCUAGUAGCUGGUUCCUGC
Molecule: unclassified non-coding RNA, 1504 nt
Filed under: uncultured fungus
Lineage: Eukaryota; Fungi
Description: sequence contains 18S rRNA gene, ITS1, 5.8S rRNA gene, ITS2, 28S rRNA gene
Rfam family: Eukaryotic large subunit ribosomal RNA (bases 527-1504)
Source: RNAcentral